This is a non-coding RNA of Trichobilharzia regenti, 45 nucleotides long. NCBI's taxonomy places the organism in Eukaryota, Metazoa, Platyhelminthes, Trematoda, Strigeidida, Schistosomatidae. The record is from Rfam.
AUCCAGCUGGCGAGUCCCAAAUAGGACGAAAUGCGCAUCCUGGAU